This 447-nucleotide ribosomal RNA is filed under the name uncultured bacterium. RNAcentral's name for it is "SSU rRNA". It matches the Rfam family "Bacterial small subunit ribosomal RNA", at positions 26 to 518 of the family's 1533-position model. The record is from RNAcentral.
AGAGCGAACGCUGGCGGCAGGCCUAACACAUGCAAGUCGAGCGGCCGUAGCAAUACGGCAGCGGCAGACGGGAGAGUAACACGUGGGAACGCGCCCUUCGGUUCGGAAUAACUCAGGGAAACUUGGGCUAAUACCGGAUAAGCCCUUACGGGGAAAGAUUUAUCGCCGAAAGAUUGGCCCGCGUCUGAUUAGCUAGUUGGUGAGGUAACGGCUCACCAAGGCGACGAUCAGUAGCUGGUCUGAGAGGAUGAUCAGCCACAUUGGGACUGAGACACGGCCCAAACUCCUACGGGAGGCAGCAGUGGGGAAUAUUGGACAAUGGGCGCAAGCCUGAUCCAGCCAUGCCGCGUGAGUGAUGAAGGCCCUAGGGUUGUAAAGCUCUUUUGUGCGGGAAGAUAAUGACGGUACCGCAAGAAUAAGCCCGGCUAACUUCGCGCCAGCAGCCGC